Molecule: long non-coding RNA, 1311 nt
Organism: Nothoprocta perdicaria
Lineage: Eukaryota; Metazoa; Chordata; Aves; Tinamiformes; Tinamidae
Exons: 3
Source: RefSeq, a predicted model, not a curated record
UGGACUAACAAAAGUGUCUUUUCCUCCUAAUUUCUACCACCAAAUCGCUCCGUUUCCCCGGUGAGGGAAGAGAAGACAAGGUGACCCAUUCUUGCUAUCAAGCCACUGAUGAUGGCAGCUAAGCACCAUGAAGGCUGGAUGUCCACCAUCCCUGAGAGCUCUGCAGGUGUGUGAGGUUGUUUCUACCAACUAGUUAAAUCCUUUUCAGUGUUGAAACAGACACUCACUUGUGCUGGAUUAGUUAAUAUCAUGGGAAAGAGGGCACACAGGCUGCAAACCUUGAGCACAGCAGAGCAUCCCUGUCCUGAAUCUAGGGACAUCCAGAGUGAGGAGAAGCAAAUGACCAAUACGUUCUGGGGAAACUUGGAGAUUCUGCUGCCCCUUAUACUGGAUUCUGGAUAGAGAUUUAAGAUCAUAACAUGGUAAGAACACUCUCAGUGAUUUGCAUCGAGCAUCCAUCUUGACCAACAUUCUGUUCAUGACAGUAGAACACUCUCAGUGAUUUGCAUCGAGCAUCCAUCUUGACCAACAUUCUGUUCAUGACAGUAGGCACUGAAAAAGAACAUAACAACAAGGCAGUAACUGAUACCACAUCAAAAUGAUCCCUGAGCCCCUAAUGACUGGUAGGCCAGCAACCCCCCUGUAUCAGAAUGGAUAUUUUUGAACAGAAGAUCCGUGAAUGCAUUUCUCUCAUCCUUGUUUAUUGACUGCUUUCUUGGAGCAUAGCACCUCUCCUUUCCCAUGCUCUACCAUAUAUCUUCAUCUCAACACAUGGAAAAUUGGAGGAACAAAAAGAGUAGAGACAGGAGAUGGGCAAAUGAGUAAUGAGCGUAUAUUUUACAUAGAACAACAAGAAGGUCAUCCGUAUUCGUCUAUAUUCAGUCAAGUAUGCUGUGUGUUUGUGUGCACACAAAUGCGUAUGUUACAGGACAGAACUGGAAAAUAUACUUUCAAUAGAGCAGAUGAAGUGGAACAAGAUAACAGUCGGUAUAUGGGGGGAGUUGAAAAUCCUUCAUGCAGACAGGGAGUUGAAAAUAUAUCUGAAGGUGAGGGAUUGAGAAGGCAUUUGACAGUACAGUGAAAAAGAAAUCUGGAGUCUUCAGGGCCAAAGAUAUUGCUGGAUAAAAUAUCUCAGCUGAAAGAUGCUGGGAAAGAUGACCUCAUCAUUAUAUUUUUAGAUCAUGUCAUUCACACACAUCUUCUUUCCUGGAGAUGGAGUAGUUGAGGCAGCACCAAAUGUGACAGCUAGUGAGACAAAGGCUUUCCACACUUCACAAAGACAUUCCUGAGCCAUUCAUCUUGAAGAGCUCC